This 253-nucleotide ribosomal RNA is filed under the name uncultured bacterium. Its description in RNAcentral is "partial 16S ribosomal RNA". It matches the Rfam family "Bacterial small subunit ribosomal RNA", at positions 524 to 776 of the family's 1533-position model. The record is from RNAcentral.
UACGGAGGGGGCUAGCGUUGUUCGGAAUUACUGGGCGUAAAGGGCGUGUAGGCGGCGGAUCAAGUCAGGCGUGAAAGCCCCGGGCUCAACCUGGGAGGUGCGCUUGAUACUGGCCUGCUUGAGUCCGGGAGAGGCGAGUGGAAUAUCCAGUGUAGAGGUGAAAUUCGUAGAUAUUGGAUGGAACACCAGUGGCGAAGGCGGCUCGCUGGACCGGUACUGACGCUGAGGCGCGAAAGCGUGGGGAGCAAACAGG